UCAGGACAUCUUUUGUGUGUGACCCCAUAGGUUCUAUUCUGUUUGAUAGUAAGAUAUAUUUUGAUCUUUAUCAAAAGUUAUUAAAUUUUAUUUUAAUGGAUUGAAAUAAUUUUAACUCAGCAAUCGAGAAUUAUUGAUCAUCAAAAUAAUUCUCGUUGGUCCCACAAUCCAUCAGUGACGCUUAGCAGCAUGUAGUGGCAAUCCAGUAGAUUACAGAAGGAAUGAACAUCUAGGUGUAGUUAUCAUAUGUUUCAGUUCUUCUAUCUUGAGUUUCGACAAGAUGGAGGUUAUGAAAAACUCGUCAAACCCCUUCGUCUGUCAUAUGUAAGAUUUAUUCAACUCGAGUUCAUUAGUGAAAUCUCAUGAAAACUCUUUUCCAUGAUUCACUCUGUCCUGAUUA
This 400-nucleotide long non-coding RNA is filed under the name Elaeis guineensis (African oil palm). RNAcentral describes it as "long non-coding RNA (EGUI_LNC028760)". Lineage: Eukaryota; Viridiplantae; Streptophyta; Magnoliopsida; Arecales; Arecaceae. The record is from RNAcentral.